UCGCACCUACCGAUUGAAUGGUCCGGUGAAGACUCGGGACCGUGUUUGGAUGUCUUUAUUGAUGUCUGAUUAUGGGAACUUGUCUGAACCUUAUCAUUUAGAGGAAGGUG
RNAcentral lists this ribosomal RNA (110 nucleotides) under uncultured eukaryote. Its description in RNAcentral is "partial small subunit ribosomal RNA". It matches the Rfam family "Eukaryotic small subunit ribosomal RNA", at positions 1676 to 1785 of the family's 1831-position model. The record is from RNAcentral.